This 260-nucleotide ribosomal RNA is filed under the name uncultured bacterium. Its description in RNAcentral is "partial 16S ribosomal RNA". The record is from RNAcentral.
GGACUACCCGGGUAUCUAAUCCUUAUUGCUACCCAGGCCUUCGUCCCUCAACGUCAGUUUUUAGAUAGAAGAAUGCUUUCGCUAUUACCUGUCCUUGUAGUAUAACAAAAUUUCAUCUCUACUCUACAAGUUCCUAUCUCCUCAUAUAAAACUCUAGUAAUUUUGUACUUUAUUAAAGCAAAAAUACCGUCUAGGUACCCUUUAAACCUAUUUAAGAUGAAUAACACUUGUCUUCCACGUAUUACCGCGGCGGCUGGCAC